This 460-nucleotide ribosomal RNA is filed under the name uncultured bacterium. RNAcentral describes it as "partial 16S ribosomal RNA". It matches the Rfam family "Bacterial small subunit ribosomal RNA", at positions 338 to 795 of the family's 1533-position model. The record is from RNAcentral.
CCUACGGGUGGCAGCAGUGAGGAAUAUUGGUCAAUGGACGAGAGUCUGAACCAGCCAAGUAGCGUGAAGGAUGACUGCCCUAUGGGUUGUAAACUUCUUUUAUAUGGGAAUAAAACGUUCCACGUGUGGGAUUUUGUAUGUACCAUAUGAAUAAGGAUCGGCUAACUCCGUGCCAGCAGCCGCGGUAAUACGGAGGAUCCGAGCGUUAUCCGGAUUUAUUGGGUUUAAAGGGAGCGUAGGUGGAUUGUUAAGUCAGUUGUGAAAGUUUGCGGCUCAACCGUAAAAUUGCAGUUGAAACUGGCAGUCUUGAGUACAGUAGAGGUGGGCGGAAGUCGUGGUGGAGCGGUGAAAUGCUUAGAUAUCACGAAGAACUCCGAUUGCGAAGGCAGUUCACUGGACUGCAACUGACACUGAGGCUCGAAAGUGUGGGUAUCAAACAGGAUUAGAUACCCGUGUAGUC